Molecule: transfer RNA, 90 nt
Filed under: Flavobacteriales bacterium
Lineage: Bacteria; Pseudomonadati; Bacteroidota; Flavobacteriia; Flavobacteriales
Description: tRNA-Ser
Rfam family: tRNA
About the family: Transfer RNA (tRNA) molecules are approximately 80 nucleotides in length. Their secondary structure includes four short double-helical elements and three loops (D, anti-codon, and T loops). Further hydrogen bonds mediate the characteristic L-shaped molecular structure. tRNAs have two regions of fundamental functional importance: the anti-codon, which is responsible for specific mRNA codon recognition, and the 3' end, to which the tRNAs corresponding amino acid is attached (by aminoacyl-tRNA synthetases). tRNAs cope with the degeneracy of the genetic code in two manners: having more than one tRNA (with a specific anti-codon) for a particular amino acid; and 'wobble' base-pairing, i.e. permitting non-standard base-pairing at the 3rd anti-codon position.
Source: RNAcentral
GGAGAGGUGCCAGAGAGGUCGAAUGGGCCUGACUCGAAAUCAGGUGUGCGGCUUGCCGCACCGGGGGUUCGAAUCCCUCCCUCUCCGCCA